AGAAUCAACGCUGGCGGCGUGCCUAACACAUGCAAGUCGAACGAGAAAGUGGAGCAAUCCAUUAGUAAAGUGGCGCACGGGUGAGUAACACGUGACUAACCUACCCUUGAGUGGGGGAUAACCUAGGGAAACCUGGGCUAAUACCGCAUAAUACCUUCGGGUCAAAGGAGCAAUUCGCUUAAGGAGGGGGUCGCGGCCGAUUAGUUAGUUGGCGGGGUAAUGGCCCACCAAGACUAUGAUCGGUAUCCGGCCUGAGAGGGCGCACGGACACACUGGAACUGAAACACGGUCCAGACUCCUACGGGAGGCAGCAGUGGGGAAUUUUGCGCAAUGGGGGAAACCCUGACGCAGCAACGCCGCGUGGAGGAUGAAGUCCCUUGGGACGUAAACUCCUUUCGAUCGGGACGAUAAUGACGGUACCGAGAGAAGAAGCCCCGGCUAACUUCGCGCCAGCAGCCGC
This 460-nucleotide ribosomal RNA is filed under the name uncultured bacterium. RNAcentral describes it as "SSU rRNA". It matches the Rfam family "Bacterial small subunit ribosomal RNA", at positions 26 to 518 of the family's 1533-position model. The record is from RNAcentral.